AUUCACAUAAUUCAAAUAAGAAUAAUACACUGAAGCUGUAUAAGUGAUUUUCUCAAUCUGUGAAUA
Molecule: transfer RNA, 66 nt
Filed under: Paraglypturus tonganus (nomen nudum)
Lineage: Eukaryota; Metazoa; Arthropoda; Malacostraca; Decapoda; Callianassidae
Description: tRNA-Phe
Source: RNAcentral